AGGAUGAACGCUGGCGGUCUGCUUAACACAUGCAAGUCGAACGGAGUACCUCGGUACUUAGUGGCGGACGGGUGAGUAACGCGUGAGAAUCUGCCCUUAGGUCGGGGACAACCAUUGGAAACGAUGGCUAAUACCGGAUAAGCCGAGAGGUAAAAGAUUAAUUGCCUAGGGAAGAGCUCGCGUCUGAUUAGCUAGUUGGUGAGGUAACGGCUCACCAAGGCAACGACGGGUAGCUGGU
RNAcentral lists this ribosomal RNA (238 nucleotides) under uncultured bacterium. RNAcentral describes it as "partial small subunit ribosomal RNA". It matches the Rfam family "Bacterial small subunit ribosomal RNA", at positions 26 to 291 of the family's 1533-position model. The record is from RNAcentral.